This 587-nucleotide ribosomal RNA is filed under the name uncultured cyanobacterium. RNAcentral describes it as "bacterial SSU rRNA". It matches the Rfam family "Bacterial small subunit ribosomal RNA", at positions 315 to 916 of the family's 1533-position model. Lineage: Bacteria; Bacillati; Cyanobacteriota. The record is from RNAcentral.
CGUACUGAGACACGGACCAGACUCCUACGGGAGGCAGCAGUGGGGAAUUUUCCGCAAUGGGCGAAAGCCUGACGAAGCAACGCCGCGUGAGGGAUGAAGGCCUCUGGGCUGUAAACCUCUUUUCUCAAGGAAGAAGAUCUGACGGUACUUGAGGAAUAAGCCACGGCUAAUUCCGUGCCAGCAGCCGCGGUAAUACGGGAGUGGCAAGCGUUAUCCGGAAUUAUUGGGCGUAAAGCGUCCGCAGGCGGCUUGGUAAGUCUGUCGUUAAAGCGUGGAGCUUAACUCCAUUUAAGCGAUGGAAACUGCCAGGCUUGAGUGUGGUAGGGGCAGAGGGAAUUCCCGGUGUAGCGGUGAAAUGCGUAGAUAUCGGGAAGGACACCAGUGGCGAAGGCGCUCUGCUGGGCCAUAACUGACGCUCAUGGACGAAAGCCAGGGGAGCGAAAGGGAUUAGAUACCCCUGUAGUCCUGGCCGUAAACGAUGAACACUAGGUGUCGGGGGAAUCGACCCCCUCGGUGUCGUAGCCAACGCGUUAAGUGUUCCGCCUGGGGAGUACGCACGCAAGUGUGAAACUCAAAGGAAUUGACGG